UAAUACCGGAUAGAUCACGGAUACUGGAAUGUUCCUUGAUCCAAAGCUCCGGCGUCCAAGGAUGGAUCUGCGACCUAUCAGGUAGUAGUGGGUGUAACGUACCUACUAGCCUACAACGGGUACGGGUUGUGAGAGCAAGCGCCCGGAGGUGGAUUCUGACACAUGAAUCCAUGCCCUGACGGAUGCAGCAGGCGCGGAAACUUUACAAUGCAGAAAACUGCGAUUAGGGGUACCCCGAGUGCCCGCGUCUAAUUUGGCUGUCCAGCUGUGUAAAUAGCUUGUUAGCAAGGGCCGGGCAAGACCGAUGCCCAGCCGCCGCAGUAACACCGGCGGCCCGAGUGGUAACCGAUUUUAUUGUGUUUAAAGGGCCCGUAGCCGACCUAUUAAAGUCUCUUGGGAAAUCUGGCGGCUUAAUCGUCAGGCGUUC
RNAcentral lists this ribosomal RNA (427 nucleotides) under uncultured ANME-2 cluster archaeon. RNAcentral's name for it is "bacterial SSU rRNA". It matches the Rfam family "Archaeal small subunit ribosomal RNA", at positions 147 to 575 of the family's 1478-position model. Lineage: Archaea; Methanobacteriati; Methanobacteriota; Methanomicrobia; Methanosarcinales. The record is from RNAcentral.